This 506-nucleotide unclassified non-coding RNA is filed under the name Hevea brasiliensis (rubber tree). Lineage: Eukaryota; Viridiplantae; Streptophyta; Magnoliopsida; Malpighiales; Euphorbiaceae. The record is from RNAcentral.
GGAAAAGUAGACGCAGUUCGGGCUCUGCUUGAUAAGGGCCUAGACAUUGAUGCCAAAGAUGAAGAUGGCUACACUGCAUUGCAUUGUGCAGUGGAGUCAGGUCACGCAGAUGUGAUUGAAUUGUUAUUGAAGAAAGGUACAGACGCCGAAGCCAGGGAGGAUAAGGGUGUCACUGCUUUACAAAUCGACGAGUCCUUGCACUAUGGGGAGAUCACUAGAGUGAUGCAAUUAGCAGCUGCGGCGCCGGUGCACCUUCCGUUUGGGAAAGGCAUGGCAGGAAAGGAGGUGGAGAAGCCAAUCAAGAAAAGGCCACCUAGAGCAAGAGCUUUGCGGGGUAUAUGGAAAUGGGACAAGCAUGCAGUCCUUCCCUCUGAUAUGGAAUAUGAGUUCUAUUAGACGGCAUCCAUGGCCAUGCAUAUACAUAAUUAAUUGUAAGAAAACAUGCAUGCGUUUGUCCCAUCUAAUAAUAUUUUGAAAAUGAAAUAAUUAAGCAAUGAAAAGUUCAG